Molecule: ribosomal RNA, 366 nt
Filed under: Streptomyces clavifer
Lineage: Bacteria; Bacillati; Actinomycetota; Actinomycetes; Kitasatosporales; Streptomycetaceae
Description: bacterial SSU rRNA
Rfam family: Bacterial small subunit ribosomal RNA
Source: RNAcentral
UGCUAACACAUGCAAGUCGAACGAUGAAGCCCCUCGGGGUGGAUAAGGGCGAACGGGUGAGUAACACGUGGGCAAUCUGCCCCCUCACUCUGGGACAAGCCCUGGAAACGGGGUCUAAGACCGGAGAACACUCUGUCCCUCAAGGGGCGGGGCUAAAAGCUCCGGCGGAGAAGGAAGAGCCCGCGGCCUAGCAGCCCUGCUGGUGGGGAAGGGCCCACCAAGGCGACGACGGGAGCCGGCCUGAGAGGGCGACCGGCCACACUGGGACGGAGACACGGCCCAGACGCCGACGGGAGGCAGCAGUGGGGAAGACUGCACAAGGGGCGAAAGCCUGAGGCAGCGACAGCCGCGUGAGGGAGGACGGCC